CGCGGGAUGGAGCAGUCUGGUAGCUCGUCGGGCUCAUAACCCGAAGGUNNUCAAAUCCGGCUCCCGCAACCA
Molecule: transfer RNA, 72 nt
Filed under: Pseudomonas sp.
Lineage: Bacteria; Pseudomonadati; Pseudomonadota; Gammaproteobacteria; Pseudomonadales; Pseudomonadaceae
Description: tRNA-Met
Rfam family: tRNA
About the family: Transfer RNA (tRNA) molecules are approximately 80 nucleotides in length. Their secondary structure includes four short double-helical elements and three loops (D, anti-codon, and T loops).
Source: RNAcentral